This 1274-nucleotide ribosomal RNA is filed under the name Enterococcus faecium. RNAcentral describes it as "bacterial SSU rRNA". It matches the Rfam family "Bacterial small subunit ribosomal RNA", at positions 1 to 1247 of the family's 1533-position model. The record is from RNAcentral. RNAcentral also lists the same sequence under 3 other names. Lineage: Bacteria; Bacillati; Bacillota; Bacilli; Lactobacillales; Enterococcaceae.
UUUUAUGAGAGUUUGAUCCUGGCUCAGGACGAACGCUGGCGGCGUGCCUAAUACAUGCAAGUCGAACGCUUCUUUUUCCACCGGAGCUUGCUCCACCGGAAAAAGAGGAGUGGCGAACGGGUGAGUAACACGUGGGUAACCUGCCCAUCAGAAGGGGAUAACACUUGGAAACAGGUGCUAAUACCGUAUAACAAUCGAAACCGCAUGGUUUUGAUUUGAAAGGCGCUUUCGGGUGUCGCUGAUGGAUGGACCCGCGGUGCAUUAGCUAGUUGGUGAGGUAACGGCUCACCAAGGCCACGAUGCAUAGCCGACCUGAGAGGGUGAUCGGCCACAUUGGGACUGAGACACGGCCCAAACUCCUACGGGAGGCAGCAGUAGGGAAUCUUCGGCAAUGGACGAAAGUCUGACCGAGCAACGCCGCGUGAGUGAAGAAGGUUUUCGGAUCGUAAAACUCUGUUGUUAGAGAAGAACAAGGAUGAGAGUAACUGUUCAUCCCUUGACGGUAUCUAACCAGAAAGCCACGGCUAACUACGUGCCAGCAGCCGCGGUAAUACGUAGGUGGCAAGCGUUGUCCGGAUUUAUUGGGCGUAAAGCGAGCGCAGGCGGUUUCUUAAGUCUGAUGUGAAAGCCCCCGGCUCAACCGGGGAGGGUCAUUGGAAACUGGGAGACUUGAGUGCAGAAGAGGAGAGUGGAAUUCCAUGUGUAGCGGUGAAAUGCGUAGAUAUAUGGAGGAACACCAGUGGCGAAGGCGGCUCUCUGGUCUGUAACUGACGCUGAGGCUCGAAAGCGUGGGGAGCAAACAGGAUUAGAUACCCUGGUAGUCCACGCCGUAAACGAUGAGUGCUAAGUGUUGGAGGGUUUCCGCCCUUCAGUGCUGCAGCUAACGCAUUAAGCACUCCGCCUGGGGAGUACGACCGCAAGGUUGAAACUCAAAGGAAUUGACGGGGGCCCGCACAAGCGGUGGAGCAUGUGGUUUAAUUCGAAGCAACGCGAAGAACCUUACCAGGUCUUGACAUCCUUUGACCACUCUAGAGAUAGAGCUUCCCCUUCGGGGGCAAAGUGACAGGUGGUGCAUGGUUGUCGUCAGCUCGUGUCGUGAGAUGUUGGGUUAAGUCCCGCAACGAGCGCAACCCUUAUUGUUAGUUGCCAUCAUUCAGUUGGGCACUCUAGCAAGACUGCCGGUGACAAACCGGAGGAAGGUGGGGAUGACGUCAAAUCAUCAUGCCCCUUAUGACCUGGGCUACACACGUGCUACAAUGGGAAGUACAACGAGU